GACGAACGCUGGCGGCGUGCCUAAUACAUGCAAGUUGAGCGAUGAAGAUUGGUGCUUGCACCAAUUUGCAGAGCAGCGAACGGGUGAGUAACGCGUGGGGAAUCUGCCUUUGAGCGGGGGACAACAUUUGGAAACGAAUGCUAAUACCGCAUAACAACUUUAAACAUAAGUUUUAAGUUUGAAAGAUGCAAUUGCAUCACUCAAAGAUGAUCCCGCGUUGUAUUAGCUAGUUGGUGAGGUAAAGGCUCACCAAGGCGAUGAUACAUAGCCGACCUGAGAGGUUGAUCGGCCACAUUGGGACUGAGACACGGCCCAAACUCCUACGGGAGGCAGCAGUAGGGAAUCUUCGGCAAUGGACGAAAGUCUGACCGAGCAACGACGCGUGAGUGAAGAAGGUUUUCGGAUCGUAAAACUCUGUUGGUAGAGAAGAACGUUGGUGAGAGUGGAAAGCUCAUCAAGUGACGGUAACUACCCAGAAAGGGACGGCUAACUACGUG
Molecule: ribosomal RNA, 497 nt
Filed under: uncultured bacterium
Lineage: Bacteria
Description: partial 16S ribosomal RNA
Rfam family: Bacterial small subunit ribosomal RNA
Source: RNAcentral